CCUACGGGAGGCAGCAGUGGGGAAUAUUGCACAAUGGGGGAAACCCUGAUGCAGCGACGCCGCGUGAGUGAAGAAGUAAUUCGUUAUGUAAAGCUCUAUCAGCAGGGAAGAAAAUGACGGUUCCUGAGUAAGAAGCCCCGGCUAACUACGUGCCAGCAGCCGCGGUAAUACUUAGGGGGCAAGCGUUAUCCGGUUUUACUGGGGGGAAAGGGAGCGUGGACGGGAGUGCUAGUCUGGAAUGAAAGGCGGGGGGUCAAACCCCGGGAUGCUCUGGAAACUGUACGGCUGGAGUGCAGGAGAGGGAAGUGGAAUUCCUAGUGUAGCGGUGAAAUGCGUAGAGAUAAGGAGGAACACCAGAGGCGAAGGCAGCUUACUGGGCUGAAACUGACGUUGAGGCUCGAAAGCGUGGGGAGCAAACAGGAUUAGAUACCCCAGUAGUC
RNAcentral lists this ribosomal RNA (440 nucleotides) under uncultured bacterium. RNAcentral's name for it is "partial 16S ribosomal RNA". It matches the Rfam family "Bacterial small subunit ribosomal RNA", at positions 338 to 795 of the family's 1533-position model. The record is from RNAcentral.